UUCCGUAGGUGAACCUGAACCUGCGGAAGGAUCAUUACAGUAUUCUUUUGCCAGCGCUUAACUGCGCGGCGAAAAACCUUACACACAGUGUCUUUUUGAUACAGAACUCUUGCUUUGGUUUGGCCUAGAGAUAGGUUGGGCCAGAGGUUUAACAAAACACAAUUUAAUUAUUUUUACAGUUAGUCAAAUUUUGAAUUAAUCUUCAAAACUUUCAACAACGGAUCUCUUGGUUCUCGCAUCGAUGAAGAACGCAGCGAAAUGCGAUAAGUAAUAUGAAUUGCAGAUUUUCGUGAAUCAUCGAAUCUUUGAACGCACAUUGCGCCCUCUGGUAUUCCAGAGGGCAUGCCUGUUUGAGCGUCAUUUCUCUCUCAAACCCCCGGGUUUGGUAUUGAGUGAUACUGUUAGUCGGACUAGGCGUUUGCUUGAAAAGUAUUGGCAUGGGUAGUACUAGAUAGUGCUGUCGACCUCUCAAUGUAUUAGGUUUAUCCAACUCGUUGAAUGGUGUGGCGGGAUAUUUCUGGUAUUGUCGGCCCGGCCUUACAACCAACCU
RNAcentral lists this ribosomal RNA (550 nucleotides) under Fusarium sp. 2213. RNAcentral describes it as "eukaryotic LSU rRNA". The stretch from base 207 to 360 matches the Rfam family "5.8S ribosomal RNA". Lineage: Eukaryota; Fungi; Ascomycota; Sordariomycetes; Hypocreales; Nectriaceae. The record is from RNAcentral.